This 73-nucleotide transfer RNA is filed under the name Felis catus (domestic cat). It matches the Rfam family "tRNA". Rfam says of the family: Transfer RNA (tRNA) molecules are approximately 80 nucleotides in length. Their secondary structure includes four short double-helical elements and three loops (D, anti-codon, and T loops). The record is from Rfam by way of RNAcentral. Lineage: Eukaryota; Metazoa; Chordata; Mammalia; Carnivora; Felidae.
GCCUGGUUGGCUCAGUCACUAGAGCAUGUGACUCUUGAUCUCGAGGUCGUGAGUUCUAGUCCCGUGUUGGGUG